CGAAAAUUUGCGUCAUGUUAUUCAUCAAAUGGGAGAGGACAUGGAGGAUUUGACGAAACAGUUAAAGAUUGAAGUAAGGAUAAUGUUCAUAUAAGAGGUCUGGUGGCACAGCUGAACAGCACAAUCGGUAGUUUACGCCAAGAGAAAUUAGAUCUUACAUCUCAAUUGGGAAAAUGUAAAGCAAUUAUCGUUCAUCUUCAAUGUUUACUUCAUCAUUCUUCAGAAGAGGUUCGUCAGAAGCAACUAAACAUAUCAACUUCACUAUCAGUUGACAACAGGGAAUCGUCGGGCCAACGAAGAAAUGGAUGCUUUGAAGCAGCAGAACUCUGAUGUCAAGCUGCAGGUAACCCAAAAAAGACACCAGGCUGACGAAUUUUACAAAACGGGUUUGGAGAGAAAUA
This 401-nucleotide long non-coding RNA is filed under the name Dendronephthya gigantea. RNAcentral describes it as "uncharacterized LOC114539197, transcript variant X1". The record is from RNAcentral. Lineage: Eukaryota; Metazoa; Cnidaria; Anthozoa; Malacalcyonacea; Nephtheidae.